This 489-nucleotide ribosomal RNA is filed under the name uncultured bacterium. Its description in RNAcentral is "partial 16S ribosomal RNA". It matches the Rfam family "Bacterial small subunit ribosomal RNA", at positions 30 to 507 of the family's 1533-position model. The record is from RNAcentral.
AUUGAACGCUGGCGGCAGGCCUAACACAUGCAAGUCGAACGGUAACAGGAAGAAGCUUGCUUCUUUGCUGACGAGUGGCGGACGGGUGAGUAAUGUCUGGGAAACUGCCUGAUGGAGGGGGAUAACUACUGGAAACGGUAGCUAAUACCGCAUAAUGUCGCAAGACCAAAGAGGGGGACCUUCGGGCCUCUUGCCAUCGGAUGUGCCCAGAUGGGAUUAGCUAGUAGGUGGGGUAACGGCUCACCUAGGCGACGAUCCCUAGCUGGUCUGAGAGGGUGACCAGCCACACUGGAACUGGAACACGGUCCAGAGUCCUACGGGAGGCAGCGGUGGGAAAUAUUGCACAAGGGGCGCAAGCCUGAUGCAGAUAUGCCGCGUGUAUGAAGAAGGCCUUCGGGUUGUAAAGUACUUCAGCGGGGAGGAAGGGAGUAAAGUUAAUACCUUUGCUCAUUGACGUUACCCGCAGAAGAAGCACCGGCUAACUCCGUG